GCCCAGACUCCUACGGGAGGCAGCAGUGGGGAAUAUUGCACAAUGGGGGAAACCCUGAUGCAGCGACGCCGCGUGAGUGAAGAAGUAUUUCGGUAUGUAAAGCUCUAUCAGCAGGGAAGAAAAUGACGGUACCUGAUUAAGAAGCCCCGGCUAACUACGUGCCAGCAGCCGCGGUAAUACGUAGGGGGCAAGCGUUAUCCGGAUUUACUGGGUGUAAAGGGAGCGUAGACGGUGAUGCAAGUCAGAAGUGAAAGCCCGGGGCUCAACUCCGGGACUGCUUUUGAAACUGUGUAACUGGAGUGCAGGAGAGGUAAGCGGAAUUCCUGGUGUAGCGGUGAAAUGCGUAGAUAUCAGGAGGAACACCGGCGGCGAAGGCGGCCUGCUGGACUGAAACUGACGUUGAGGCUCGAAAGCGUGGGGGGCAAACAGGAUUAGAUACCCGAGUA
Molecule: ribosomal RNA, 446 nt
Filed under: uncultured bacterium
Lineage: Bacteria
Description: bacterial SSU rRNA
Rfam family: Bacterial small subunit ribosomal RNA
Source: RNAcentral